GGUCCUGAGGUGUUAUCAUGUCGGAUUGCAAAUCCGAAGACGCGGGUGACUCCCGCCGGGACUU
Molecule: transfer RNA, 64 nt
Filed under: Leptobrachium boringii (Emei moustache toad)
Lineage: Eukaryota; Metazoa; Chordata; Amphibia; Anura; Megophryidae
Description: tRNA-Cys
Rfam family: tRNA
About the family: Transfer RNA (tRNA) molecules are approximately 80 nucleotides in length. Their secondary structure includes four short double-helical elements and three loops (D, anti-codon, and T loops). Further hydrogen bonds mediate the characteristic L-shaped molecular structure. tRNAs have two regions of fundamental functional importance: the anti-codon, which is responsible for specific mRNA codon recognition, and the 3' end, to which the tRNAs corresponding amino acid is attached (by aminoacyl-tRNA synthetases). tRNAs cope with the degeneracy of the genetic code in two manners: having more than one tRNA (with a specific anti-codon) for a particular amino acid; and 'wobble' base-pairing, i.e. permitting non-standard base-pairing at the 3rd anti-codon position.
Source: RNAcentral